GUUCUAAAAUCUAUGUGCAAAGUUGUUGAAAAUAAGAUAUGCAAUGGCACCAGUGAAAGAGUUGUUAGUCAAUUUAAUCAAAGUCAGUAAUUGAGUCAAUGUGAGAGGUGGUCACCAUCUAUCCUGGCACAUCAAAAAUGGCAGUGAAAAGGCAUGGGUAAUGAAAGAGCUCUUGUGGAAGUGCAGUAUUUGUUAAUGGAUAUAGUGCCAAGAGCAAUGGAGGAGAAAGUGUUAGAGGAGAUCAUGAGAUUUUAUGCCUCAGUGACAGGAAGAACAUCAACAGAAAUAGGAAAUUGAGAAAGAACACUUUGCUUGUGGGAAUGAAAACUACUCGACAAUUAUGACUGGAUUUUUUUUUUGUCUCAAGACUUUAGUACAGUGCCUGGAAUACAAUAGUCAAGGCAGAGCAGAACUACACUCAAGCCUUAUCUAAUUGGAAUCCCACAGGAUUAUGGACAAUCCUGAAAGAUUAAUUAGGAGACAGAACUGUUGAUGUCAUCUUUCACAUGCUUUGCAGAGGGCAUGUAGCUGCUCAUUACCCUGAAACACAAAUCCUGUGUGCAAACUGGCCCUGAAUCUGUAUUCUGGGACUCAAUAAGGGACAACAAGUCUUCCAGAAAGCAGCCUUUCCCAUGCUGGUACUGUGCCACCUGUUUGCCCUGGAUGCUGUACCUGCCUACCUAACCAUAGAAUGUGCACUGGAACGAUCUUUGAACUCUUACUCUGGAAAUUCACAGUUAUAAUUGGAAAGAACUCAUUUCAUCCAAAGACAGUCAUCCUCUUAAAUUCAUUCCCCCCCCCUUGCUGCCUUUGCAUCCUCUUAAAUUCACUCCCCCCCCUUGCUGCCUUUGUACUCACCUUUCCUACUUUUUCCCUUCAAAACACAUACAUUCUCUCUCUCUCUCUCUCUCUCUCUCUCUCUCUCUCUCUCUCUCUCUCUCUCUCUCUCUCUCUCUCUCUCUC
Molecule: long non-coding RNA, 963 nt
Organism: Monodelphis domestica (gray short-tailed opossum)
Lineage: Eukaryota; Metazoa; Chordata; Mammalia; Didelphimorphia; Didelphidae
Source: RefSeq, a predicted model, not a curated record